Molecule: ribosomal RNA, 492 nt
Filed under: uncultured bacterium
Lineage: Bacteria
Description: partial 16S ribosomal RNA
Rfam family: Bacterial small subunit ribosomal RNA
Source: RNAcentral
AGUGAACGCUGGCGGUAGGCCUAACACAUGCAAGUCGAACGGCAGCACAGUAAGAGCUUGCUCUUACGGGUGGCGAGUGGCGGACGGGUGAGGAAUACAUCGGAAUCUACUUUUUCGUGGGGGAUAACGUAGGGAAACUUACGCUAAUACCGCAUACGACCUACGGGUGAAAGCAGGGGAUCUUCGGACCUUGCGCGAUUGAAUGAGCCGAUGUCGGAUUAGCUAGUUGGCGGGGUAAAGGCCCACCAAGGCGACGAUCCGUAGCUGGUCUGAGAGGAUGAUCAGCCACACUGGAACUGAGACACGGUCCAGACUCCUACGGGAGGCAGCAGUGGGGAAUAUUGGACAAUGGGCGUAAGCCUGAUCCAGCCAUACCGCAUGGGUGAAGAAGGCCUUCGGGUUGUAAAGCCCUUUUGUUGGGAAAGAAAAGCAGCAGGUUAAUACCCCGCUGUUCUGACGGUACCCAAAGAAUAAGCACCGGCUAACUUCGUG